GAUGAACGCUGGCGGCGUGCCUAAUACAUGCAAGUCGAGCGAACAGACGAGGAGCUUGCUCCUCUGACGUUAGCGGCGGACGGGUGAGUAACACGUGGAUAACCUACCUAUAAGACUGGGAUAACUUCGGGAAACCGGAGCUAAUACCGGAUAAUAUAUUGAACCGCAUGGUUCAAUAGUGAAAGACGGUUUUGCUGUCACUUAUAGAUGGAUCCGCGCCGCAUUAGCUAGUUGGUAAGGUAACGGCUUACCAAGGCAACGAUGCGUAGCCGACCUGAGAGGGUGAUCGGCCACACUGGAACGGAGACACGGGCCAGACGCCUACGGGAGGCAGCAGUAGGGAAUCUGCCGCAAUGGGCGAAAGCCUGACGGAGCAACGCCGCGUGAGUGAUGAAGGUCUUCGGAUCGUAAAACUCUGUUAUUAGGGAAGAACAAAUGUGUAAGUAACUAUGCACGUCUUGACGGUACCUAAUCAGAAAGCCACGGCUAACUACGUG
Molecule: ribosomal RNA, 497 nt
Filed under: uncultured bacterium
Lineage: Bacteria
Description: partial 16S ribosomal RNA
Rfam family: Bacterial small subunit ribosomal RNA
Source: RNAcentral